CAGUAGCCGCGGUAAUACGGAGGGGGUUAGCGUUGUUCGGAAUUACUGGGCGUAAAGCGCACGUAGGCGGCUUGGUAAGUUAGAGGUGAAAGCCUGGAGCUCAACUCCAGAAUUGCCUUUAAGACUGCCGAGCUAGCAGGUGAGAGAGGUAAGUGGAAUUCCGAGUGUAGAGGCGAAAUUCGUAGAUAUUCGGAAGAACACCAGUGGCGAAGGCGGCUUACUGGCUCAUACUGGACGCUGAGGUGCGAAAGCGUGGGGAGCAAUCAGGAUUAGAUACCCCCGUAGUCCCUGUCUCUUAUAC
RNAcentral lists this ribosomal RNA (301 nucleotides) under uncultured bacterium. RNAcentral's name for it is "partial 16S ribosomal RNA". It matches the Rfam family "Bacterial small subunit ribosomal RNA", at positions 509 to 807 of the family's 1533-position model. The record is from RNAcentral.